Long non-coding RNA from Mercenaria mercenaria, 449 nucleotides. RefSeq lists it as uncharacterized. The transcript has 3 exons. The record is from RefSeq and is a predicted model, not a curated record. Lineage: Eukaryota; Metazoa; Mollusca; Bivalvia; Venerida; Veneridae.
AAGACUUCCGUUUCGAAAUAUAUAUAGAGAGAGACUUUUAGAAGUUUAGUAUUCUAGCUUAAUCACUUUCAAUAAGUGUAGUGAUUCCCCUAGAUAGACUGUAGUUCACUUCGGGAACAUUGCAGCGCUACUAAACAAUUCAAGAGCAAUGUAUAACAUUGUUGUGUUUGUAAUGGUGCUUGGGGUGUCCCUAGCCAACAACUGCGGUGAUGCGCCAGACACAAAUGGUUGCAAUGCUUGGGACAUUGUUCCUUACAAGCACAAAUUUACACCAGCUUGCAACAAGCACGAUGUCUGUUAUUCAUGUGGAGACACAUUCGGCGUAAGCAAAGAUCGAUGUAAUAAGGCAUUCAAGAAUGACAUGGUUAAAAUUUGUAACGGCUGGUGGUGCAGAAGAUGGGCUGGAAUUUAUUACAAAGCUGUUGACUGGUUUGGUCAUGGUUACAAAA